GGUCCCCCUCUUUCCCCCAUCUCCCAGCCCAGCCGGGCAGAGGGAUCCUGUACACAACUUUUUCAAACUGCCAGGCAGAAGAAUCCCAGCCUUUCCAAGGGAGUGUCGGUAAAUCAUCAGUACAUCCGACAACGCAGCCAGCGGGAUUAACCCUUUGCGGGAUCCCGGGAAAAUAACAACAACAACAACAAAACCACCACCAACAACGCGCUUAACAACGAAAACAGCAAAAUUUGGCCCCAGCUGUGGGAGAAGGGGGACGGGCAGCCUGUGCGCCGGGAUCCUUUCACACACGGGCGGAGAGGGAGCAGCGUUUUGUGUGUGCCGAGCACAUGAAGAGGAGCUGCCGCCGCGCACCUCCGCCGUGCCCAUCCCUCGGGGCUUCCCCACCUCAAGAAGCACGACCCAGAUGUGCCUCCCACCCCCCAAGGAUCUCUCCUCUGGACUUAGAGAGAAGAGGAAAAGGCAGAUUUUGAGAAAUGAAAAUUAUUUAAGGAUGUCCUUAC
Long non-coding RNA from Passer montanus (Eurasian tree sparrow), 506 nucleotides. RefSeq lists it as uncharacterized. The transcript has 2 exons. The record is from RefSeq and is a predicted model, not a curated record. NCBI's taxonomy places the organism in Eukaryota, Metazoa, Chordata, Aves, Passeriformes, Passeridae.